GUUUAGGAGAGGUGGCAGUAGAGUUUUUGACUGGGCUACUUAACAAGAUCUUGGAGAGUGAGAGGAUGCCAGAGGAAUGGAGGAGAAGUGUACUGGUGCCCAUCUUUAAGAACAAGGGAGACGUGCAGAGUUGUGGAAACUACAGAGGAAUAAAGCUGAUGAGUCACACAAUGAAGUUAUGGGAAAGAGUAGUGGAGGCUAGGCUGAGGUCAGAAGUGAGCAUUUGUGAGCGCAGUACGGUUUCAUGCCAAGAAAGAGAACCACAGAUGCAAUAUUUGCUUUGAGAAUGCUGAUGGAGAAGUACAGAGAAGGCCAGAAGGAGCUGCAUUGUGUCUUUGUAGAUUUGGAAAAAGCGUAUGACAGGGUGCCGAGAGAGGAGCUGUGGUUUUGUAUGAGGAAGUCUGGAGUGGCAGAGAAGUAUGUUCGAGUGGUGCAGGACAUGUAUGAGAGCUGUAAGACAGUGGUGAGGUGGGCUGUAGGGGUGACAGAGGAGUUCAAAGUGGAGGUGGGACUGCACCAAGGAUCGGCUUUGAGCCCCUUCUUGUUUGCUGCGGUGAUGGACAGGCUGACAGAUGAGGUUAGACAGGAAUCUCCGUGGACCAUAAUGUUUGCAGAUGACAUUGUCAUCUGUAGUGAGAGCAGGGAGCAGGUGGAGGAAAAUCUAGAGAGGUGGAGGUUUGCGCUGGAAAGGAGAGGAAUGAAGGUUAGCCGCAGUAAAACAGAGUACAUGUGUGUAAAUGAGAGGGACUCAAGUAGAACGGUGAGGUUGCAGGGAGUAGAGGUGAAGAAGGUGGAGGAUUUUAAGGACCUAGGGUCAACAGUCCAGAGCAACGGAGAGUGUGGAAAAGAAGUGAAGAGACGUGUGCAAGCAGGUUGGAACGGGUGGAGGAAAGUGUCAGAUGUGAUGUGUGACAAAAGAGUGUCAGCAAGAAUGAAAGGAAAGGUGGACAAGACAGUGGUGAGACCAGCGAUGUUGUCUGGUUUAGAGACAGUGGCACUGAGAAAAAGACAGGAGGCAGAGCUGGAGGUAGCAGAGCUGAAGAUGUUGAGGUUCUCUCUGGGAGUGACGAGGAUGGAUAGGAUCAGGAAUGAGGACAUCAGAGGGACGGCUCAUGUUAGAUGUUUUGGAGAAAAAGCCAGGGAAGCCAGAUUGAGAUGGUUUGGACAUGUUCAGAGGAGGGACAGUGAAUACAUUGGUAAAAGGAUGCUGAGGUUAGAGCUGCCAGGAAGGAGGCCUAGAGGAAGACCAAAGGAGGACAUGAGGAUAGUUGGUGUGGGUGAGGAGGAUACAGAGGAUAGGGUUAAAUGGAGGCAGAUGAUUGGCUGUGGAGACCCCUGAAGGGAGCAGCCCAGAGGAGAAGAAGAAGAAGAGGAGCAGCUGUGGGUACUUUCAUCAUUGGUUUAUUUCUUCUCACAU
RNAcentral lists this long non-coding RNA (1417 nucleotides) under Mastacembelus armatus (zig-zag eel). RNAcentral's name for it is "lncRNA (ENSMAMG00000027446.1)". Lineage: Eukaryota; Metazoa; Chordata; Actinopteri; Synbranchiformes; Mastacembelidae. The record is from RNAcentral.